CGGCCCAUGGGUAGCGGCAGACGGGUGAGUAACACGUGGGUAACCUGUCCUUGGGUGGGGGGAUAACUACUCGAAAGGGUGGCUAAUACCGCAUAAGACCACGGCCUUGCGGGGCUGCGGUCAAAGGUGCAAAUCGCCUGAGGAGGGGCCCGCGGCCGAUUAGCUAGUUGGUGGGGUAAUGGCUCACCAAGGCGACGAUCGGUAGCUGGUCUGAGAGGAUGAUCAGCCACACUGGUACUGAGACACGGACCAGACUCCUACGGGAGGCAGCAGUGGGGAAUAUUGCGCAAUGGGCGAAAGCCUGACGCAGCAACGCCGCGUGGGUGAUGAAGGCCUUCGGGUCGUAAAGCCCUGUCAGAUGGGACGAACCACCCCGCAAGGGGCCUGACGGUACCAUCGAAGGAAGCACCGGCUAACUCCGUGCCAGCAGCCGCGGUAA
This 439-nucleotide ribosomal RNA is filed under the name uncultured delta proteobacterium. Its description in RNAcentral is "bacterial SSU rRNA". It matches the Rfam family "Bacterial small subunit ribosomal RNA", at positions 82 to 523 of the family's 1533-position model. The record is from RNAcentral. Lineage: Bacteria; Deltaproteobacteria.